CUGGAAUGAUGAAAGUUAGCCAAAUCGUAUACUGACGUGCUCCUCCAGAUGUUAUUUUUGUCUGUGCACUUGGUGAAAAUUUCUUCUUUCCCAAGCACAAGAUGAGAUGCCUGGAGUUGAAGUUUGCAUCAGUAUGUGAUGAUAAAAACUGAGAUCGGUAACUUACUGACCAGA
Panicum hallii is the source of this 174-nucleotide small nucleolar RNA. RefSeq annotates it as small nucleolar RNA snoR127. NCBI's taxonomy places the organism in Eukaryota, Viridiplantae, Streptophyta, Magnoliopsida, Poales, Poaceae. The record is from RefSeq and is a predicted model, not a curated record. The transcript has a single exon.